GCACAGGCAAUUCUAUAACAUACUAAAAGUUAGUCCAAAGGUCUGUUGGUGCCUAUGAGGCUAAUAAUCAGUGUUACGAGAACAAGUCCUCCUGCCUUAAGGUGAGAAUCCCCCCAGGGGGCUGCAUGGAUAUAACGGCAGAAUUCAUGACUUUCUGCAUUCCCUUUAGUUUUAAAGGUUCCGAGUUCUAGAAGUCUUAAGUUUGUGUUCCUGAGUCCCUUCCUGGUUCCCCUGAGUCCCUACCGUGUUUCUGUACUCCAGUCCCCAUCUUACCUUUUCAGACUUCUGGCUUAUUUCAAGGACUGGUUUCUGUUUGCUGCCUGCCCUGACCACUGGCUUGUUUAACAGACUUGUCUCACAGGUUAAUUCUUAUUUAAUUUUUCUGUUCAAUUAUUAUUCAUUAAAGCAUUUAUCUCUUAUGUGUAGCGUGAGUUGCCAAACACAUAGGCUCCUGCUUGCUAGCUACA
This is a long non-coding RNA of Xenopus tropicalis (tropical clawed frog), 467 nucleotides long. RefSeq lists it as uncharacterized. Lineage: Eukaryota; Metazoa; Chordata; Amphibia; Anura; Pipidae. The record is from RefSeq and is a predicted model, not a curated record. The transcript is spliced from 3 exons.